GAUCCUGGCUCAGGAUGAACGCUGGCUACAGGCUUAACACAUGCAAGUCGAGGGGAAACGACAUCGAAAGCUUGCUUUUGAUGGGCGUCGACCGGCGCACGGGUGAGUAACGCGUAUCCAACCUGCCCACCACUUGGAGAUAACCUUGCGAAAGUAAGACUAAUACCCAAUGAUAUCUCUAGAAGACAUCUGAAGGAAAUUAAAGAUUCAUCGGUGAUGGAUGGGGAUGCGU
This 232-nucleotide ribosomal RNA is filed under the name uncultured bacterium. RNAcentral describes it as "partial 16S ribosomal RNA". It matches the Rfam family "Bacterial small subunit ribosomal RNA", at positions 15 to 236 of the family's 1533-position model. The record is from RNAcentral.